Rhea pennata is the source of this 177-nucleotide long non-coding RNA. RefSeq lists it as uncharacterized. Lineage: Eukaryota; Metazoa; Chordata; Aves; Rheiformes; Rheidae. The transcript has 4 exons. The record is from RefSeq and is a predicted model, not a curated record.
GUGGGGCCGCUUCAGGUGGAAGACAAAGGCGUUGUGUUGAACUCUCCGGCAGUGGGAGAUGCUGGUCAGCUUGUAGAUGGAGAUGUUGCUGUGCCAGUUGACCUUGUGCGAGAGGAGAGGGCUCUGCAUCUGAAGCUGCCCUUGCACCAGAGACACCAGGCUGCAGCCCACCUGGCC